AUAGUGGGGGAGUAGCCUUUCGUAAAGGAAGAUUAAUACCGCAUAAGAUUGUAGUAUCGCAUGAUAUAGCAAUUAAAGGAGCAAUUCGCUAUAAGAUGGACCCGCGUCGCAUUAGCUAGUUGGUGAGGUAAUGGCUCACCAAGGCGACGAUGCGUAGCCGACCUGAGAGGGUGAUCGGCCACAUUGGGACUGAGACACGGCCCAGACUCCUACGGGAGGCAGCAUG
Molecule: ribosomal RNA, 226 nt
Filed under: uncultured bacterium
Lineage: Bacteria
Description: partial 16S ribosomal RNA
Rfam family: Bacterial small subunit ribosomal RNA
Source: RNAcentral